AUAUAUAAAGAACAACAACCAAACUAUAUCUUCUUGUUUAUGUAAAAGUUAGAACAAAGAUACAUUUUGUAUUAAUAAUAAUAACCCAAUCUAAUGUAUCAAUCAAAACUUUUAACCAUUAAACAUAAAAACUCCACAAAUAUAAAUAAGAAAGAAUAUAAAGUAAUGAAGUUAUUGACUGACAGUGGAUAAAUCCAUACUCCCUUCACUUGUAACAUCUUUGUCAUUUCUUGCUGAGAUUGAUGCUGAAAACAUUAAAUUAAUUUAUUGAACCAUGAAAGGAUGGCGAAGGGAACACUGUCGAAGAAACGGGGGUGACCACCCAAACAGGUCACUCCGGUACCGGCGACGGCAAGCCCUAUGCAGCAGAGGGAAGGAACAACUGUGGAAAAUUCAAGCGAGGUGGAGGCGGAAGGUGUGGUGGAGGUGGAGGAUGGAAAGGAAGGUGUGGAGGAGGAGAAAGCUACGAAUCAGGGGUUUUGUCAAAACCCUAAAAAAUUGGGGAAUGUGACGGAGAAUCUAGGGAACGUUGAGGACGCCAAGCUAUGGGUCGAUGUUAUACGAGGAAAUCGGUUAACUAGGAAUGGCAAAGCGUUAGCGUUUGUUACUCCGAAGAUCGUCAAUGGCAAGCCUGUGGUGAAAAUUGAAGAAGAUGUGGCGAGUGAAAUCCGAUUUUGGGAGACUUCUCUCAUCACUAUUGCGUUUCAGUGCGUCUUCAUUGCUCCAUCGUGGCAAUGUGGUUUCAGAUAGUAGUUUACAGCCUGGCUUAGGGUUCAAUUUUGAUCAAUCUCUGUUUCGAGUAUUACAACUUUCUCUUUAUUUCAGUUUUCAAUCCGUUGACUUUCAUCAUCUAUGGCGUCCCGAAGACCUUCAACUUUCCUCAACGUUGUGGCUCUCGGCAACAUCGUAAGUCUUAUCCAUUUGAUUUCUUCAUCAUUUUAGUUUCUAAUUUAUUAUAUUGGCGAUUACAAUUUUGAUUUCGAUUUUGUAGAGUGGUGGUAAAUCAGCGGUUUCACAAAAAUUUUUCUCUUUCAUUGGGCUUCUGAUUUUUCUUCUUCUCUGUCUUUCAAGUUUGAUUUAGAUUUAGAUUUCAAAGUUUCAGGUUUCAUGGUGUUGGCUCACGCGGAAGGAGAAAGAUCCAUCACCGAUGCAAUGUCUGAUGAUGCGUAUGCGUUUGAUGAUGAAGCACAAAUUUGCUUGGCCAUAAAAAAGAAAGGAUGGCAAUGAGAGAGCCAAUAGUAGCACAGUUUUCUUUGAUGUAAGUUACUGCAAGAAAGCCAACCUCAGCAUGACAUGGUCUCCUUGCAAGCUGAUAUAUAUUACUAAUUCCUUUUCUUUCUGUUCCUGCAUAUUUACAUGAAGGGUCUAAGUAACACUGAAUAGGGGCUUCAGGUAACAACACUAAUAUUGGCAGCAUAGGGACUCUGUUAAUAUUUCACUGUAGUUGUUUGUUAACAUAUGAAUUGAUUAUCUAUAUCCAACAAAGAAUUAAGCCAUUGUAUAUUUGAAAGUAGAUAGCAAUAUGGAUAUAUAUUUAUGGUCCUCCAAGCACAACAUUCUCAAUGUCUUUUCUGCUCAAAGCAUAACUAAAUCUCCUUUCUACAUCUUUUUCAAGAUUCCGAGGCCCACUCUCAAAUUCCUGCACCAAAUCAUAACUUUUCGAUGUGAUUAACAUGUAGAAAGUUAAAUCCAAUUUAUACAAUACGGUUCCUCUCUAAAAUGUUGCAAGGUAUUUCAAAUUUAACUAUUUGAACUAUUUGAACUUAUCUACUGAAAUAAGCACGCGUGAAAUUGUUUGGAUGAGCUUUUACAAACAAAUUAUGUCCAUAAGCUUUUUCAAAGCUGUUUGGAUGAGCUUUUAGAAACUGAUAGGGACUGAGUUCGUUUAUACGAAUGUGCAGGGCUGAACAUGGAACUGUUUUGUCAGUCAAAGAAAUGGUUAGUCUAAAUGUUAAGACUAGAAAUUGUUAGGUUGUUACUUGACCGUUAGAGAAAUUGUUAGUUGUGUAAGUUUGUGUUUGUUAGUAGUUUUGAGAAAUGCAGACUUCUAAUGUCUCUAAUCUAUUCAUAGGCAACACAAGAAGUUGAUUCACAAAUUCUGUUGACUAUAGUUGAAGAAUUUAAACCUGUUGUAUCUACUGCAAAGAAGGCAUUUCCAGCAUGACGUAACACUCUGGUUACGACACGUCAACGCGUUAUGUUAAAGCUCCAGGAGUUCAUUUGCAGAGAUACGGUGAGCAUCUUACGACAUUAGACAACGUGGUGCAUUCUUUUGUGAAUAUAGACACCUUUUUUUGUCAUGCUUACUGUUAGAAAUUUUUUAUUAUCUUUUGACUUUGUACUUGUUUUAAGAUAAACUUGCUCUUAAUGUGACCACUGAACAAGGAAAGACACUGAAGGAUGCACAAGGGGAGAUGUAUUUCGUGGCUUAGGUUGGUCUUUAUCACUUAGGUUGGUCUUUAUCAUAAUUGGAAUGGUUCUUAAACUGUGUUGUAUGAUGCUAUAUAUAUAGUUCAUAAAUUCAAUGCAGUAGGCCAAAAAUGUUGCAGCUCACUAAGAACUAUAGCAGUCAAAACCUCACUUUCGAUUCCUCAAAAAUACUGUUUAAAGCUAUAGGUAACAUGGAAUGAUUUCGGGUCUGCCAUAGUAUUGAAUGAAAAAUCCUUUUGAGUAAACUAUCACCUCUUCAUUUUUAAUGAUUCCCCAUAAUUAUGCAAGUCGGUUACGUCCCGAAUACAAGAAACCAUUUAUUACUAAAUUAAUAGGUUUGAAAGUUUCUUACGGAUUGUUUUCUCCAUCUCUCAUAAAUUAUUAAUAAUAUAUGAUUACAUAUAAGUGUGUUUUUAUCCAUGAUGAUGGUCAAUUUGGACCAUAUUUCUACAUACAAUAUGUUUCAUAUUAUUUCAAAUUUAAAACAAUUUAUUAAUAUAUGAAAUUAAUUGACUCAUUCAAUUUGUAAUUACGUAAUUUAUUAUUCAUUAUUUUUGUUGAUGCAAUAUUAAUUUUCACUUUAAUAGUAUUUAUUCUAAUUUAUUAUUAUUUUUCAUGCACACUAUUAUCCAUCACUCUAUCACACUAACUAUUUAUUAUUUUAUUUAUUUAUAUUUAUUAAUGAGUAAUACAAUAUUUCUUUAUUCAAAAUUUAAUCAAUUAUUUUAAAUCCAAUUAAAUUUUAAACAAUCGUAGCCUAAAAAAAUAUAGAAAAUUUUUUUCUUUUUAAAAUGCAACCUCAUUAUUAUUACUCAAGCUA
This is an RNA transcript of Vicia villosa (hairy vetch), 3250 nucleotides long. RefSeq lists it as uncharacterized. The record is from RefSeq and is a predicted model, not a curated record. NCBI's taxonomy places the organism in Eukaryota, Viridiplantae, Streptophyta, Magnoliopsida, Fabales, Fabaceae. The transcript has 2 exons.